Stegostoma tigrinum is the source of this 666-nucleotide long non-coding RNA. RefSeq lists it as uncharacterized. The transcript is spliced from 3 exons. Lineage: Eukaryota; Metazoa; Chordata; Chondrichthyes; Orectolobiformes; Stegostomatidae. The record is from RefSeq and is a predicted model, not a curated record.
CAUCCGAAGGGUGUGUUCCGGCGCUGCGCUCUGGAAUGUGCAGAGGUUUUAUUGUGAGAGCCCUGAGCUGUGUAUCAAUGAAACCCAUCUCUGUGCUAGGUUUCAUUGUCAGCGCCUUGAGUUGUGUGUCAACUGAAACCAUCUCUGUACAUGGAUUUUAUUGUUAGGGCUCUGAGCUGUGCAUCAACGAAAACCAUUUCUGUGCAAGAUUUUAUGGUGAGAAUCCAGAACUGAGCUAAACGCAACUGAUUUACACCAUCACACUACUGACUGAUCAUUCUUCAGAGAGAAACUUGCAAAAUUGCAAGUUGUGUGUAUCAUCAUCCACUCACCCAAGCCACCCUCUCCAAAUUGAAGGUCAUUUCCUAGUGAUAUAGCCAAAUUCUCUGAUUAUUUUAAUCUGAUUAUACUGCCAAAGAAUACUUACAGGAUCUGCUGAGUCAGCAGGUGGAUGUUUACCAAUGAAUGUUAUCUUUCUGGACUUCAGCCAAAGGAUGUUAUCUACCUAGACUUCAAGAAGGCCUUUGACAAAGUGCCGCACAGGAGGCUGCUGAGUAAAGCUCAAGAACAAAUACAAAAUUGUCAAAGACUUACUGAUUCAUCAACAAAGAAGAGAAAACAAAAUGCAAAUAAUAGUGGAAAUGCACCCUGUGAUUUCACUCUGCU